This 253-nucleotide ribosomal RNA is filed under the name uncultured bacterium. RNAcentral describes it as "partial 16S ribosomal RNA". It matches the Rfam family "Bacterial small subunit ribosomal RNA", at positions 524 to 776 of the family's 1533-position model. The record is from RNAcentral.
UACGUAGGGAGCAAGCGUUGUUCGGAUUUACUGGGCGUAAAGGGCGCGUAGGCGGCGCGGUAAGUCACUUGUGAAAUCUCUGAGCUUAACUCAGAACGGCCAAGUGAUACUGCAGUGCUAGAGUGCAGAAGGGGCAAUCGGAAUUCUUGGUGUAGCGGUGAAAUGCGUAGAUAUCAAGAGGAACACCUGAGGUGAAGACGGGUUGCUAGGCUGACACUGACGCUGAGGCGCGAAAGCCAGGGGAGCAAGCGGG